AGAUGAGAGAAACACCCCGUCCGCGGAUCUUCGCGGACGGCGCCGGGUCGGCGCCUCCCCAGCACCGGACCGGCCGUGCCCUCGCGCACACCGGAGCCUCGGGCUCCGGGAUUCUCCACCGGUCGGA
Molecule: non-coding RNA, 127 nt
Filed under: Streptomyces xinghaiensis
Lineage: Bacteria; Bacillati; Actinomycetota; Actinomycetes; Kitasatosporales; Streptomycetaceae
Description: Streptomyces RNA 5676
Rfam family: Streptomyces RNA 5676
About the family: Identified by deep sequencing of transcriptome at the end of exponential growth phase. Appears longer on northern blot than sequencing transcript.
Source: Rfam by way of RNAcentral